GUUCCUGUAGUUUAAUGCAACGGUGGUUUUUCAAGCCAUUGGUCCUGGUGAAAACCCGGGCGGGAACC
RNAcentral lists this transfer RNA (68 nucleotides) under Blenniella gibbifrons (hump-headed blenny). RNAcentral describes it as "tRNA-Glu". It matches the Rfam family "tRNA". From Rfam's summary of the family: Transfer RNA (tRNA) molecules are approximately 80 nucleotides in length. Their secondary structure includes four short double-helical elements and three loops (D, anti-codon, and T loops). The record is from RNAcentral. Lineage: Eukaryota; Metazoa; Chordata; Actinopteri; Blenniiformes; Blenniidae.